RNAcentral lists this ribosomal RNA (78 nucleotides) under Nomascus leucogenys (northern white-cheeked gibbon). Lineage: Eukaryota; Metazoa; Chordata; Mammalia; Primates; Hylobatidae. The record is from RNAcentral.
CUCUACAGCCAUACCACCCUGAACGCACCCGAUCUCAUCUGAUCUCAGAAAAAUAGAAACAGGGUUUCGCUGUGUUGC